ACUAGAAAUCCCUUUCCGAUUUAUCGGGAUGUAGGCAGGUUGAAGACUACGACCUUGAUAGGGUGUAGGUGUAAGCAUAGUAAUAUGUUUAGCCAAGCACUACUAAUAUGCCAAUCGGCUUGGUGCC
RNAcentral lists this ribosomal RNA (127 nucleotides) under Candidatus Omnitrophota bacterium. RNAcentral's name for it is "partial 23S ribosomal RNA". It matches the Rfam family "Bacterial large subunit ribosomal RNA", at positions 2804 to 2925 of the family's 2925-position model. The record is from RNAcentral. Lineage: Bacteria; Pseudomonadati; Candidatus Omnitrophota.